AAAUUGAAGAGUUUGAUCAUGGCUCAGAUUGAACGCUGGCGGCAGGCCUAACACAUGCAAGUCGAACGGUAACAGGAAGCAGCUUGCUGCUUUGCUGACGAGUGGCGGACGGGUGAGUAAUGUCUGGGAAACUGCCUGAUGGAGGGGGAUAACUACUGGAAACGGUGGCUAAUACCGCAUAACGUCGCAAGACCAAAGAGGGGGACCUUCGGGCCUCUUGCCAUCAGAUGUGCCCAGAUGGGAUUAGCUUGUUGGUGAGGUAACGGCUCACCAAGGCGACGAUCCCUAGCUGGUCUGAGAGGAUGACCAGCCACACUGGAACUGAGACACGGUCCAGACUCCUACGGGAGGCAGCAGUGGGGAAUAUUGCACAAUGGGCGCAAGCCUGAUGCAGCCAUGCCGCGUGUAUGAAGAAGGCCUUCGGGUUGUAAAGUACUUUCAGCGGGGAGGAAGGUGUUGUGGUUAAUAACCGCAGCAAUUGACGUUACCCGCAGAAGAAGCACCGGCUAACUCCGUGCCAGCAGCCGCGGUAAUACGGAGGGUGCAAGCGUUAAUCGGAAUUACUGGGCGUAAAGCGCACGCAGGCGGUCUGUCAAGUCGGAUGUGAAAUCCCCGGGCUCAACCUGGGAACUGCAUUCGAAACUGGCAGGCUUGAGUCUUGUAGAGGGGGGUAGAAUUCCAGGUGUAGCGGUGAAAUGCGUAGAGAUCUGGAGGAAUACCGGUGGCGAAGGCGGCCCCCUGGACAAAGACUGACGCUCAGGUGCGAAAGCGUGGGGAGCAAACAGGAUUAGAUACCCUGGUAGUCCACGCCGUAAACGAUGUCUACUUGGAGGUUGUGCCCUUGAGGCGUGGCUUCCGGAGCUAACGCGUUAAGUAGACCGCCUGGGGAGUACGGCCGCAAGGUUAAAACUCAAAUGAAUUGACGGGGGCCCGCACAAGCGGUGGAGCAUGUGGUUUAAUUCGAUGCAACGCGAAGAACCUUACCUGGUCUUGACAUCCACGGAAGUUUUCAGAGAUGAGAAUGUGCCUUCGGGAACCGUGAGACAGGUGCUGCAUGGCUGUCGUCAGCUCGUGUUGUGAAAUGUUGGGUUAAGUCCCGCAACGAGCGCAACCCUUAUCCUUUGUUGCCAGCGGUCCGGCCGGGAACUCAAAGGAGACUGCCAGUGAUAAACUGGAGGAAGGUGGGGAUGACGUCAAGUCAUCAUGGCCCUUACGACCAGGGCUACACACGUGCUACAAUGGCGCAUACAAAGAGAAGCGACCUCGCGAGAGCAAGCGGACCUCAUAAAGUGCGUCGUAGUCCGGAUUGGAGUCUGCAACUCGACUCCAUGAAGUCGGAAUCGCUAGUAAUCGUGGAUCAGAAUGCCACGGUGAAUACGUUCCCGGGCCUUGUACACACCGCCCGUCACACCAUGGGAGUGGGUUGCAAAAGAAGUAGGUAGCUUAACCUUCGGGAGGGCGCUUACCACUUUGUGAUUCAUGACUGGGGUGAAGUCGUAACAAGGUAACCGUAGGGGAACCUGCGGUUGGAUCACCUCCUUACCUGAAAGAA
This 1552-nucleotide ribosomal RNA is filed under the name Salmonella enterica subsp. enterica serovar Gaminara. RNAcentral describes it as "bacterial SSU rRNA". It matches the Rfam family "Bacterial small subunit ribosomal RNA". The record is from RNAcentral. RNAcentral also lists the same sequence under 1 other name. Lineage: Bacteria; Pseudomonadati; Pseudomonadota; Gammaproteobacteria; Enterobacterales; Enterobacteriaceae.